Molecule: ribosomal RNA, 519 nt
Filed under: Sutcliffiella cohnii
Lineage: Bacteria; Bacillati; Bacillota; Bacilli; Caryophanales; Bacillaceae
Description: bacterial SSU rRNA
Rfam family: Bacterial small subunit ribosomal RNA
Source: RNAcentral
UUGGAAAAAAAUUGAUCCUGGCUCAGGACGAACGCUGGCGGCGUGCCUAAUACAUGCAAGUCGAGCGAACUUCUUUAGAGCUUGCUUUAAAGAAGUUAGCGGCGGACGGGUGAGUAACACGUGGGCAACCUGCCUGUAAGACUGGGAUAACUUCGGGAAACCGGAGCUAAUACCGGAUAAUAUAUAGUACCUCCUGGUACUAUAUUGAAAGAUGGUUUCGGCUAUCACUUACAGAUGGGCCCGCGGCGCAUUAGCUAGUUGGUGAGGUAACGGCUCACCAAGGCAACGAUGCGUAGCCGACCUGAGAGGGUGAUCGGCCACACUGGGACUGAGACACGGCCCAGACUCCUACGGGAGGCAGCAGUAGGGAAUCUUCCACAAUGGACGAAAGUCUGAUGGAGCAACGCCGCGUGAGCGAUGAAGGCCUUCGGGUCGUAAAGCUCUGUUGUUAGGGAAGAACAAUGCGAGAGUAACUGCUCGCACCUUGACGGUACCUAACCAGAAAGGCAGGCAAUCAUU